RNAcentral lists this long non-coding RNA (1683 nucleotides) under Homo sapiens (human). RNAcentral describes it as "non-protein coding lnc-PGM3-1:2". The record is from RNAcentral. Lineage: Eukaryota; Metazoa; Chordata; Mammalia; Primates; Hominidae.
GGUGUCUGGCCAAUAGAUUCUGAAGGAGAGACAACUGAGGAGUAUAUGCAUUAUUUACACUAGUAGUUGAAAUGGCAUUUACAAAAGCUAUAGGGUUAGUUUUCAAGAUGGCUUUGAUGGCAGAGAAAGCAUACAAAGUCCUGGAUGAAUCAUACAACUGGAGAUACAGGAGCACAUGUUGAUAGAGAGGAUGAAUGUUGAAAUUGGGAGAUUUUCGAGAUCCUGGAGAACCCAUGUCACUCUCAAUUUCAGAAAUGUCUCCCUCUCCACAGCUAUACCAGUUCUCUAAAUCCAGACCAUCACUGAAGAAUACACUGGUUUGUUUGAGUUUUUCAUUUGAAGAUUUUUUCUUGUCAUCAUCCUUUUUUCUGGCAAGUUUUACUUUAGGUUUUGCUCCUGGUUGUUUACCUGACUCCUUAACUAUUGUUUCCUUCUCCGAAACUUUUUCUGAUAAUUUUUCUUUGAAGCUGAAUUGAAUACUACUGUGACUCCUUUGUCUAGAUUUGGUUUCUAUGGAAGCAACAGAAGAGUCAUGAAGAGUGUGUGUGGUUCCUGAAAUACAAGGUGAGGAGCUAUUCCUGGAGAUUCCAUUUGCCACACACUCAUGGCCUCCCUCUGCAGACACAGACAGAAACUGAGAACUUUCAUUACUCAGCAAAGCAUUCUGACUCUGUUGAAUGGAGUCAUCUUCAAUUUUAAUCGUCUCUUCAUCUGGAUCUAUAUCACUGCACUUUGGGGGCAUAGCUUCAAUUUCUAAUUGAGAUGUAACUGAUGCAGAUUCCACUUCGAGGCCACUUACAACUUUACAUAUCAGGUCAAAUACUACCUGUUGAACAUCAUCAUCUGGGGAGCUUUCCUUGGGCAUUUGAGAAUCCUCUUGGGCAUUCACGGUUUCAGGAUCAACUUCGUAACUCAAGUUGUCCCCAGCAGAGGACUGUGAACAUCCCGAGUCAGAACUCUGAAGUAUUUCUAUCUGUUGGUCUGGAAGAUCAAAAUCAGACACAACCAUUGGAAUUGUCUCACUGCUGGUACUUAGGAGGGAAAGUCUGUCACUUAAUGGAUUCACAGUGAGACUAAAGUUCUCUAUUUCAUCCAUGAACGUAACUCUGAUGUAUGGUUCCCCUCAGCAAUGUAAACUGGGAAACUUGAGCACUCUAGGAAGAGCUGACAGGCAGCAAGGAAGGCAGACAGUGAAUAGUUACUGAACUCCUAUCAUGUGCCAGACACUGUAUUAGGUAGUAGAAAUAAAAGGAAUAUUUUAUAAUCUAGAGGGGAAGAUGAGAGAAUUACAGUAAACAAACAAAUGAACCAUUCCUGGAGUAGAACUGGAGUAUAUUAGCCUUUUACUCCCUACAAUAGGAUAGAUGCUAGCAGAUAACAGUGGAGGCUGAACCUUGCUAAGGAUCUUUGAGCAGAGUCUGAGAGAAUCUGUGAGUUCAGAUAAGUGCAAUGUCUGGAGAUGGCUUGUCAAGGCAGAAAUCAUUCUGAGCAGCAACUGGGGCAAGUGUUCUGUCUGGAUUUCAAUGAAUUUUCUUGUUAUAAAAAUUCUUGGGAAGUUUGUAAGUCUUGUCUCCACCCCUUCAACUGUGAAUUCAAUUAAGGCAAGACCUCGUCUUACACUUUUUCACUACCUCUAGUGGUCAGUAAGUAACCAAAGAAUAAUAAAAGUAUUCAUUACCUGGA